RNAcentral lists this ribosomal RNA (440 nucleotides) under uncultured bacterium. Its description in RNAcentral is "partial 16S ribosomal RNA". It matches the Rfam family "Bacterial small subunit ribosomal RNA", at positions 338 to 795 of the family's 1533-position model. The record is from RNAcentral.
CCUACGGGAGGCAGCAGUAGGGAAUAUUGCUCAAUGGGGGAAACCCUGAAGCAGCAACGCCGCGUGGAGGAUGAAGGUUUUCGGAUUGUAAACUCCUUUUGUUAGAGAAGAUAAUGACGGUAUCUAACGAAUAAGCACCGGCUAACUCCGUGCCAGCAGCCGCGGUAAUACGGAGGGUGCAAGCGUUACUCGGAAUCACUGGGCGUAAAGCGCGCGUAGGCGGGAUAGCAAGUCAGCUGUGAAAUCCUAUGGCUUAACCAUAGAACUGCAUUUGAAACUGUUAUUCUAGAGUAUGGGAGAGGUAGGUGGAAUUCUUGGUGUAGGGGUAAAAUCCGUAGAGAUCAAGAGGAAUACUCAUUGCGAAGGCGACCUGCUAGAACAUAACUGACGCUGAUGCGCGAAAGCGUGGGGAGCAAACAGGAUUAGAUACCCCAGUAGUC